AGUGAACGCUGGCGGUAGGCCUAACACAUGCAAGUCGAACGGCAGCACAGUAAGAGCUUGCUCUUACGGGUGGCGAGUGGCGGACGGGUGAGGAAUACAUCGGAAUCUACUUUUUCGUGGGGGAUAACGUAGGGAAACUUACGCUAAUACCGCAUACGACCUACGGGUGAAAGCAGGGGAUCUUCGGACCUUGCGCGAUUGAAUGAGCCGAUGUCGGAUUAGCUAGUUGGCGGGGUAAAGGCCCACCAAGGCGACGAUCCGUAGCUGGUCUGAGAGGAUGAUCCGCCACACGGGACAGGAGACCAGGCCCAGCACCCUAGGGGAGGCAGGAGUGGGGAAUAUUGAAAAAGGGGCGAAAGCCUGACCCAGCCAAACCGCGGGGGUGAAGAAGGCCUUCGGGUUGUAAAGCCCUUUUGUUGGGAAAAAAAAGAAGCAGGUUAAACCCCCGCUGUUCCGACGGUACCCAAAGAAAAAGCCCCGGCUAACUUCGU
Molecule: ribosomal RNA, 491 nt
Filed under: uncultured bacterium
Lineage: Bacteria
Description: partial 16S ribosomal RNA
Rfam family: Bacterial small subunit ribosomal RNA
Source: RNAcentral